GCUGGGAGUUGUAGUUUUGCAACAGCUGGAGGCACCCUGGUUGGGAAACAAUGGUUUAUGGAGAGGACAGGAGCUUCUUCAGGGUCCUGUACAGUACACACAGUGUCCUAAAUGGAGCCGCCCUUACUUGGUGUCCAAAGGAGCAGGUAACCCUGGCACAGGUAAGGAGUAGUACAGAACAUGUAAUACCUCCCUGUACUGUAGGGGGCGCUACCAGACAGCCAGUCAGUGCAUACACUUCAGUAAUACAGGUAAAGAGUACAGAACAUGUAAUACCUCCCUGUACUGUAGGGGGCGCUACCAGACACCAGUCAGUGCAUACACUUCAGUAAUACAGGUAAAGAAUACAGAACAUGUAAUACCUCCCUGUACUGUAGGGGGCGCUACCAGACAUCAGUCAGUGCAUACACUUCAUUAAUACAGGUAAAGAGUACAGAACAUGUAAUACCUCCCUGUACUGUAGGGGGUGCUACCAGACACCAGUCAGUGCAUACACUUCAUUAAUACAGGUAAAGAAUACAGAACAUGUAAUACCUCCUUGUACUGUAGGGGGCGCUACCAGACAGCCAGUCAGUGCAUACACUUCAGUAAUACAGGUGAUUUGCCAGUAAAAUGCCCAUUCUGAUUGGUCAAUUCCUCCAGUUGUGACAGGUAUCACAGAUCUGGACUGUCCGUACAUUGUAUGUUGAGUCUGGUUUCAUGUUACGAUGGUCCAGAAAAGACCAUUGUAUGUUGAAACUAUUGUAUGUCGAGGCCAUUGUAAGUUGAGGGAUCACUGUAUACGGGCCUAAAGGCUUCAAGUCAUUGCCACCAGGACUUCUACCCCAGUGUAUCCUGGGAACAUGAAGGGAGAUUUAUCAAAACCUGUGCAAAGGAAAAUUUGCUGAGUUGCCCAUAGCAACCAAUCAGAUCGCCACUUUCAUUUUUCAAAAAUGAAAGUAGCGAUCUGAUUGGUUGCUAUGGGUAACUCAGCAACUUUUCCUCUGGACAGGUUUUGAUUAAAUCUCCCCCCAUGGUCACCAGCCUCCCCGACUGCACAAAGGAAUAGCCCAUACUAACCAGUCCGGUCAAUGGUUACACUUUCCCAUCAGCCCCCUGUCUGUAUUCUGACUGAUGACUGUGGACACCUAUUAUUUGCGCCAAACUUUAUCUGCUUCCCUCAGUUCCACUUUUGUUUUAUUGUUUUUAGGCGCAGUUUCUGCGGUCGCUGUCAUUGUGACUGGACAUUACUAGCGCACACGGGGCUCUGUCAAUCACUGCCAUACAAACACACGGUGGGUCCCACGAUGCAGGACCAGGCUCAGUUAUUACACUGCCACUUGCGAUCUUUCUAAAAAAAAAAAAAAAAAAAUUUUUCUUUAUUAAAUCUGAUUGGUUGUUUUUUUUGGAAUACGCAAAAAAGAUUAGGAUGACGAUUCCCGUCUUUUCCCACAAUCACAAAAUCCUGACUGCCCACAUUUUGUAGCUAAUCCUUCUGUAUUUGUAUCAUAACAUUGUGAAAAUGAAAAAUAAAUCCAGUGACCUCCUAAAAGUC
Long non-coding RNA from Hyla sarda, 1534 nucleotides. RefSeq lists it as uncharacterized. NCBI's taxonomy places the organism in Eukaryota, Metazoa, Chordata, Amphibia, Anura, Hylidae. The transcript has 2 exons. The record is from RefSeq and is a predicted model, not a curated record.